Molecule: long non-coding RNA, 1328 nt
Filed under: Junco hyemalis (dark-eyed junco)
Lineage: Eukaryota; Metazoa; Chordata; Aves; Passeriformes; Passerellidae
Description: lncRNA (ENSJHYG00000003426.1)
Source: RNAcentral
AAAGGUAUGCUCUGAAUUCUUCCUGCAGUGUGAAACCUGAGACCCACUGGGCUUUUUCUGGGGGAGAAACCACUGCUGAACAUCCCUGUGCCUGCAGAGGGACUGUGGGUGCUUGUGCCAUGGUCAUGUAGCUCCCUGGAAUGAGGAGGGAUAAGGAAGAAAAGGAGAGGUGUAAUUUGAAUUUCCGAACUCCCAGUGUGCUGCUGAAGCCCUCGGUCCUGUACAAAACACUGAAGGGCUUAUGCUGAAAGAGCAGCCAGAGCCUUCCCUCGGUGUCUGUGUGCAGAGAGCAAGGCUGAGGCUGUUCUCAGAGCCUGAUGGAAUUAAUUCCUGAUGGGUUCUUCAUCAGCUGCCCAGCACUGCUCCAGCUGCCUCUGUGCUGCAAGGAAAGGAUGCACAGACACCACUGCAGCUCUCCCUCAGCUUGGAGCAAACCUCAUCAGAGCAGUGGAGAAGCCUCCAGAUUUCAACCCUGGCAAAACCUGUGUUCCCACUGGAUUGCCAUGACUCAGUGACAUUCCAUUGUGUUGCAGAAAAUCUGAAAUGGGGCCAAGAAAUUCCAAUAUUACCUUCUUAAAGAAAGAAUACCCACUAAACUGCUUGUCCUUCAAAUCCCAUUCAGUGACCACAGUGUUGUAUUUCAAGCAGGGCCAAUACAGGAGUUUUCCUUUAAACUGCACUUAAAAUGUAGGAACUAAAAAUCCCAGAAUACCCUGAGCUGGAAGGGAACCAGGAGGAUCAUUGAGCUCAGCUGCUGGCCCAGCACAGGACAGCCCAGGAACCCUCCCCAGCUCCCCUCUGUGCCCUUGCCUUUGGUUCCAGGAGCAGCUCUGUGCUCCUGUGAAGCUCAGAGCCUGUGUCUGGGGAGGAUGCAGCCCAGCUGUGCACAGAGCCUUCCCUGCCCAUUCCUGUCACUGCUGGCUCCCACAGGGAUAUCCCAGGGAUCUUCAGACUCCACUGAGCUGCAGCUCUGACAGCAGCCAAAUCUGAGCUGCUCUGGAACUCUGGUUAUUGAUUUAGGGUCACUGGUGGGGAGUGCAAGUGCUCAGGAAUUACCCUCCAGAAAUCCAAGUCAGAAGUGCUGAUCGGUGAAUUCAAUACUGAGCAGGGUGUUUCACUCAGUGGAGAGCAGCACUGAGCUGAUCACGGUGCCAUCCCUCUCCAAUCCAAACACUGCUCUCUCCAUCAAAAUUAGCAGUGGAAAAUAGUCCAAUGCUGCUUUUACAUUUAGAACAAAUUCUGUGACUGGAUGACAACAAAACAUCUCCUGUGCACCUCUGCUCUGGAGCCAGGCUGGCAGAGCUGGGGGUGCUCACCUGGACAGGAGC